RNAcentral lists this microRNA precursor (59 nucleotides) under Heliconius melpomene (postman butterfly). RNAcentral describes it as "Hme-Mir-9-P9_pre stem-loop". Lineage: Eukaryota; Metazoa; Arthropoda; Insecta; Lepidoptera; Nymphalidae. The record is from RNAcentral.
AUUUGGUGAUUCAGCUUAUGACGUUACAAUAUACGUUAUAAAGCUGUUUCACUAAAUGU